This 26-nucleotide non-coding RNA is filed under the name Homo sapiens (human). Lineage: Eukaryota; Metazoa; Chordata; Mammalia; Primates; Hominidae. The record is from RNAcentral.
UGGUGGCUGCUCUAGACGGGAUGACC